UAAAACAGUUAUAGUUUAUUUGAUAAUUGAAUUAUACAUGGAUAACCGUGGUAAUUCUAGAGCUAAUACAUGCAGUAAAACCUGACUUUUUGGAAAGGUUGUAUUUAUUAGAUAUCAAACCAAUAUUCCUUCGGGUCUAUUGUGAUGAUUCAUAAUAACUGAUCGAAGCUUAGCUUGGCUAAGCUAAAUCAUUCAAGUUUCUGCCCUAUCAGCUUUCGAUGGUAGUGUAUUGGACUACCAUGGCAGUCACGGGUAACGGGGAAUUAGGGUUCGAUUCCGGAGAGGGAGCCUGAGAAACGGCUACCACAUCUAAGGAAGGCAGCAGGCGCGUAAAUUACCCAAUCCUGACUCAGGGAGGUAGUGACAAAAAAUAACAACGCGGGGCCUCACGGCUUACGAGAUUGGAAAGAAAACAAUUUAAACCACUUAUCUAGGAACAAUUGGAGGAAGG
RNAcentral lists this ribosomal RNA (451 nucleotides) under uncultured eukaryote. RNAcentral describes it as "SSU rRNA". It matches the Rfam family "Eukaryotic small subunit ribosomal RNA", at positions 102 to 560 of the family's 1831-position model. The record is from RNAcentral.